GGACUACUCGGGUUUCUAAUCCGUUUUGCUCCCCACGCUUUCAUGCCUCAAUGUCAGUAACAGAAUAGUUAACUGCUUUCGCCUUAUCGGUGUUCUUCCAUAUAUCGUCACAUUUUACCGCUCCACAUGGAGUUCCGUUAACUUCUCCUGAACUCAAGCAUGACAGUAUUAACAGCUUCCACGAGGUUGAGCCCCGAUUUGCCACUGAUAACUUAUCACGCCAUCUACGCAUCCUUUACGCCCAAUAAUUCCGGAUAACGUUCGCCACCUAUGUCUUACCGCGGCGGCUGGCAC
RNAcentral lists this ribosomal RNA (294 nucleotides) under uncultured bacterium. Its description in RNAcentral is "partial 16S ribosomal RNA". The record is from RNAcentral.